This 165-nucleotide ribosomal RNA is filed under the name Neaxius acanthus. RNAcentral describes it as "partial 16S rRNA". The record is from RNAcentral. Lineage: Eukaryota; Metazoa; Arthropoda; Malacostraca; Decapoda; Strahlaxiidae.
ACUUUACAUUGAAUUAGUAAAGCUAGAACUAUUUGUGACAAUGGUUGUACUAAUUAUAUUUGUUUUGUUGGGGCGACAUGAGUAUAAUUAACUAACUGCUCUUAGAAAAAACAAUUAUUUUUGUUAUGUGAAUGAUCCUUUAUGUUAAGAUUUAAAGAAAAAGUU